This 253-nucleotide ribosomal RNA is filed under the name uncultured bacterium. Its description in RNAcentral is "partial 16S ribosomal RNA". It matches the Rfam family "Bacterial small subunit ribosomal RNA", at positions 524 to 776 of the family's 1533-position model. The record is from RNAcentral.
UACCGAGGUCCCAAGCGUUGUUCGGAUUCACUGGGCGUAAAGGGUGCGCAGGUGGUCGGGUAAGUCUGACGUGAAAUCCCGCAGCUUAACUGCGGAAUGGCAUUGGAUACUAUUCGGCUAGAGGGUUGGAGGGGGGACUGGAAUUCUCGGUGUAGCAGUGAAAUGCGUAGAUAUCGAGAGGAACACCAGUGGCGAAGGCGAGUCCCUGGACAACUCCUGACGCUGAGGCACGAAAGCUAGGGGAGCAAACAGG